This 317-nucleotide unclassified non-coding RNA is filed under the name uncultured fungus. RNAcentral's name for it is "partial contains 5.8S ribosomal RNA and internal transcribed spacer 2". The stretch from base 1 to 133 matches the Rfam family "5.8S ribosomal RNA", at positions 22 to 154 of the family's 154-position model. The record is from RNAcentral. Lineage: Eukaryota; Fungi.
UGGCUCUAGCAUCGAUGAAGAACGCAGCGAAACGCGAUAGGUAAUGCGAAUUGCAGAAUUCCGUGAGUCAUCGAAUCUUUGAACGCACAUUGCGCCCGCCGGUAUUCUGGCGGGCAUGCCUGUUCGAGCGUCAUUUCAACCCUCGGGCCUGUCCCGGUGUUGGGGCUCCGCUAUUCUGCGGACCCCGAAAAACAGUGGCGGAGCCUCCUAGCUCUCAGCGUAGUAAUUUUUCUCGUUGGGGACGACAGCGGUCGCUUGCCGUGAAACAACCACUAUUUUAAUUGUUUGACCUCGGAUCAGGUAGGAAUACCCGCUGA